GCAGGUGCGAAAGCAGGUCAUAGUGAUCCGGUGGUUCUGAAUGGAAGGGCCAUCGCUCAACGGAUAAAAGGUACUCCGGGGAUAACAGGCUGAUACCGCCCAAGAGUUCAUAUCGACGGCGGUGUUUGGCACCUCGAUGUCGGCUCAUCACAUCCUGGGGCUGAAGUAGGUCCCAAGGGUAUGGCUGUUCGCCAUUUAAAGUGGUACGCGAGCUGGGUUUAGAACGUCGUGAGACAGUUCGGUCCCUAUCUGCCGUGGGCGCUGGAGAACUGAGGGGGGCUGCUCCUAGUACGAGAGGACCGGAGUGGACGCAUCACUGGUGUUCGGGUUGUCAUGCCAAUGGCACUGCCCGGUAGCUAAAUGCGGAAGAGAUAAGUGCUGAAAGCAUCUAAGCACGAAACUUGCCCCGAGAUGAGUUCUCCCUGACCCUUUAAGGGUCCUGAAGGAACGUUGAAGACGACGACGUUGAUAGGCCGGGUGUGUAAGCGCAGCGAUGCGUUGAGCUAACCGGUACUAAUGAACCGUGAGGCUUAACCUU
This 538-nucleotide ribosomal RNA is filed under the name Escherichia coli. RNAcentral's name for it is "partial 23S ribosomal RNA". It matches the Rfam family "Bacterial large subunit ribosomal RNA", at positions 2393 to 2925 of the family's 2925-position model. The record is from RNAcentral. Lineage: Bacteria; Pseudomonadati; Pseudomonadota; Gammaproteobacteria; Enterobacterales; Enterobacteriaceae. RNAcentral also lists the same sequence under 1 other name.